Long non-coding RNA from Mauremys reevesii (Reeves's turtle), 580 nucleotides. RefSeq lists it as uncharacterized. The transcript is spliced from 4 exons. NCBI's taxonomy places the organism in Eukaryota, Metazoa, Chordata, Testudines, Geoemydidae. The record is from RefSeq and is a predicted model, not a curated record.
AAAGUAGCUAGUCUUAAAAACAGAAUAUGAACCAGAUUCUUCUCAUUGGCAAAGAAAACAGUGGUUAACCAGAGGUGCAACCCAGUCCCCAAGUCCCCUUGAAUCAUUCAUCUGUAAUAUGGAACUCCUGACACUGGCUACUCACAGAAGACCGAGAUCCUCUGCACCCCCAAAGGAGCAAGAAUCCUAAAGCACUUUACAAGCUUUAUGAAGGAAUUACAAACUAUCUAGCGCACGUGGAGGCUCCAACCAAGAUAGGACUUCACUGGGCAAGGGACUGUACAAAUAUGUAAUGAGAGAGACUCUGUCCAAAGAACUUGCAACCUAAGUAGAAAAGACAAACUGGAGGAAACAGAGGUGCAAAAUAACCUAUCCAAAGUCUCACAGAAGGUCAAAUGAUAGAGCCAGGCUCAGAACCCACAUCUGCUGAGCACCAAUCCAGUGCCCAAUCCACUGGAGUACACAGGCUCUCAAUUAGUCAGAAUUGUGUACUCAUGUACCCUACAUUUCUCUCAUGGGUAACACUCCCAAUGAAAUCUCACUCCUGUUAAAGUUAAUUGGAAUUUAAUCCCCAGCAAGG